UACGUAGGGGCCUAGCGUUGUUCGGAAUUAUUGGGCGUAAAGGGCGCGUAGGCGGCUUUGCAAGUGACGGGUGAAAUCCCUCGGCUUAACCGAGGAACUGCCUGUCAAACUGCAUGGCUUGAGACCGGGAGAGGUGAGUGGAAUUCCCAGUGUAGCGGUGAAAUGCGUAGAUAUUGGGAGGAACACCAGUGGCGAAGGCGGCUCACUGGACCGGUACUGACGCUGAUGCGCGAAAGCGUGGGGAGCAAACAGG
RNAcentral lists this ribosomal RNA (253 nucleotides) under uncultured bacterium. RNAcentral's name for it is "partial 16S ribosomal RNA". It matches the Rfam family "Bacterial small subunit ribosomal RNA", at positions 524 to 776 of the family's 1533-position model. The record is from RNAcentral.